RNAcentral lists this ribosomal RNA (253 nucleotides) under uncultured bacterium. RNAcentral's name for it is "partial 16S ribosomal RNA". It matches the Rfam family "Bacterial small subunit ribosomal RNA", at positions 524 to 776 of the family's 1533-position model. The record is from RNAcentral.
UACGUAGGUGUCGAGCGUUGUCCGGAUUUAUUGGGCGUAAAGAGCCCGCAGGCGGCUUGUCUAGUCCGAGGUGAAAUCUCCCGGCUCAACUGGGAGGGUGCCUCGGAAACUGGCAGGCUUGAGGCAGGGAGAGGGAUGUGGAAUUCCAGGUGUAGUGGUGAAAUGCGUAGAUAUCAGGAGGAACACCGGUGGUGUAGACGGCUUACUGGACCACGACUGACACUGAGGCACGAAAGCGUGGGUAGCAAACAGG